This 469-nucleotide ribosomal RNA is filed under the name uncultured bacterium. RNAcentral describes it as "partial 16S ribosomal RNA". It matches the Rfam family "Bacterial small subunit ribosomal RNA", at positions 28 to 507 of the family's 1533-position model. The record is from RNAcentral.
GACGAACGCUGGCGGCGUGCUUAACACAUGCAAGUCGGACGGAAAGGCCCUGCUUGCAGGGUGCUCGAGUGGCGAACGGGUGAGUAACACGUGGGUGAUCUGCCCCUUACUUUGGGAUAAGCCUGGGAAACUGGGUCUAGUACUGGAUAGGACCAUGCUGUAGGUGGUGUGGUGGAAAGAUUAGUUUCGGUAAGGGAUGAGCUCGCGGCCUAUCAGCUUGUUGGUGGGGUAAUGGCCUACCAAGGCGUCGACGGGUAGCCGGCCUGAGAGGGUGGACGGCCACAUUGGGACUGAGAUACGGCCCAGACUCCUACGGGAGGCAGCAGUGGGGAAUAUUGCACAAUGGGCGCAAGCCUGAUGCAGCGACGCCGCGGGGGGGAUGACGGCCUUCGGGUUGUAAACUCCUUUCAGCCAUGACGAAGCCCUUGUGGUGACGGUAGUGGUAGAAGAAGCACCGGCUAACUACGUG